UGGGGAAUAUUGCACAAUGGGCGCAAGCCUGAUGCAGCCAUGCCGCGUGUGUGAAGAAGGCCUUCGGGUUGUAAAGCACUUUCAGCGAGGAGGAAGGGUAGUGUGUUAAUAGCACAUUGCAUUGACGUUACUCGCAGAAGAAGCACCGGCUAACUCCGUGCCAGCAGCCGCGGUAAUACGGAGGGUGCAAGCGUUAAUCGGAAUUACUGGGCGUAAAGCGCACGCAGGCGGUUUGUUAAGUCAGAUGUGAAAUCCCCGCGCUUAACGUGGGAACUGCAUUUGAAACUGGCAAGCUAGAGUCUUGUAGAGGGGGGUAGAAUUCCAGGUGUAGCGGUGAAAUGCGUAGAGAUCUGGAGGAAUACCGGUGGCGAAGGCGGCCCCCUGGACAAAGACUGACGCUCAGGUGCGAAAGCGUGGGGAGCAAAACAGGAUUAGAUACCCUGGUAGUCCACGCUGUAAACGAUGUCGACUUGGAGGUUGUGCCCUUGAGGCGUGGCUUCCGGAGCUAACGCGUUAAGUCGACCGCCUGGGGGAGUACGGCCGCAAGGUU
RNAcentral lists this ribosomal RNA (550 nucleotides) under uncultured bacterium. RNAcentral's name for it is "partial 16S ribosomal RNA". It matches the Rfam family "Bacterial small subunit ribosomal RNA", at positions 355 to 895 of the family's 1533-position model. The record is from RNAcentral.